RNAcentral lists this ribosomal RNA (125 nucleotides) under Simulium metatarsale. RNAcentral describes it as "partial 28S ribosomal RNA". It matches the Rfam family "Eukaryotic large subunit ribosomal RNA", at positions 1 to 125 of the family's 3401-position model. The record is from RNAcentral. Lineage: Eukaryota; Metazoa; Arthropoda; Insecta; Diptera; Simuliidae.
UACCCUCAACUCAUGGGAAACUCCCCCCUGAAUUAAAGCAUAUUAAUAAGGGGAGAAAAAAAAACUAAAUAGGAUCCCCCUAGAAGGGGAGAGCAAAAGGGAAAAAGCCCACCACGAAAAAUCGA